CCUACGGGCGGCAGCAGUGAGGAAUAUUGGUCAAUGGGCGCGAGCCUGAACCAGCCAAGUCGCGUGAGGGAAGACGGUCCUAUGGAUUGUAAACCUCUUUUGUCGGGGAGCAAAAGACGCCACGCGUGGCGUUCCGAGAGUACCCGAAGAAAAAGCAUCGGCUAACUCCGUGCCAGCAGCUGCGGUAAUACGGAGGAUGCGAGAGUUAUCCGGAUUGAUUGGGUGAAAAGGGUGCGCAGGCGGAAUAUCAAGUCAGCGGUAAAAUUGAGAGGCUCAACCUCUUCGAGCCGUUGAAACUGGUUUUCUUGAGUGAGUGAGAGGUAUGCGGAAUGCGUGGUGUAGCGGUGAAAUGCAUAGAUAUCACGCAGAACUCCGAUUGCGAAGGCAGCAUACCGGCGCUCAACUGACGCUCAUGCACGAAAGUGUGGGUAUCGAACAGGAUUAGAUACCCGAGUAGUC
Molecule: ribosomal RNA, 459 nt
Filed under: uncultured bacterium
Lineage: Bacteria
Description: partial 16S ribosomal RNA
Rfam family: Bacterial small subunit ribosomal RNA
Source: RNAcentral